ACCAAAAUGGCUGAUAAAAGUAAUAAACUGUAAAUUUAUUCAUGAAUAAGAAAUUCUUUUGGUA
This 64-nucleotide transfer RNA is filed under the name Cosmoscarta dorsimacula. RNAcentral's name for it is "tRNA-Tyr". Lineage: Eukaryota; Metazoa; Arthropoda; Insecta; Hemiptera; Cercopidae. The record is from RNAcentral.